RNAcentral lists this signal recognition particle RNA (266 nucleotides) under Kurthia sibirica. RNAcentral's name for it is "Bacterial large signal recognition particle RNA". It matches the Rfam family "Bacterial large signal recognition particle RNA". From Rfam's summary of the family: The signal recognition particle (SRP) is a universally conserved ribonucleoprotein involved in the co-translational targeting of proteins to membranes. Archaeal SRP consists of a 7S RNA and homologues of the eukaryotic SRP19 and SRP54 proteins. The record is from Rfam by way of RNAcentral. Lineage: Bacteria; Bacillati; Bacillota; Bacilli; Caryophanales; Caryophanaceae.
CCGUGCUAGGUGGGAAAUUAGCGGUGUCCUGUAACUCGCAAUCCGCUUUAGCGAGACUGAAUUCCUUUUCUAGGUUGUCCGAAUUGUAGAGCAGCCUUUUGCACGUAGUGUUGACGAUUGGGUCCUGCGCAAUGAGUUCCCACGAACCAUGUCAGGUCCGAGAGGAAGCAGCAUUAAGUGGUCAAACUUAUGUGCCGCAGGAUCGCCUAAUCUGAGCUAACGACAAAAGUAACGUUUAUGUUCGGCUGUCAAAAAAAGGUGCACGG